AACAUGCAAGUCGAACGAUGAUCAGGAGCUUGCUCCUGUGAUUAGUGGCGAACGGGUGAGUAACACGUGAGUAACCUGCCCCUGACUCUGGGAUAAGCGUUGGAAACGACGUCUAAUACUGGAUACGACUGCCGGCCGCAUGGUCUGGUGGUGGAAAGAUUUUUUGGUUGGGGAUGGACUCGCGGCCUAUCAGCUUGUUGGUGAGGUAAUGGCUCACCAAGGCGACGACGGGUAGCCGGCCUGAGAGGGUGACCGGCCACACUGGGACUGAGACACGGCCCAGACUCCUACGGGAGGCAGCAGUGGGGAAUAUUGCACAAUGGGCGAAAGCCUGAUGCAGCAACGCCGCGUGAGGGAUGACGGCCUUCGGGUUGUAAACCUCUUUUAGUAGGGAAGAAGCGAAAGUGACGGUACCUGCAGAAAAAGCACCGGCUAACUACGUGCCAGCAGCCGCGGUAAUACGUAGGGUGCAAGCGUUGUCCGGAAUUAUUGGGCGUAAAGAGCUCGUAGGCGGUUUGUCGCGUCUGCUGUGAAAUCCCGAGGCUCAACCUCGGGCUUGCAGUGGGUACGGGCAGACUAGAGUGCGGUAGGGGAGAUUGGAAUUCCUGGUGUAGCGGUGGAAUGCGCAGAUAUCAGGAGGAACACCGAUGGCGAAGGCAGAUCUCUGGGCCGUAACUGACGCUGAGGAGCGAAAGCGUGGGGAGCGAACAGGAUUAGAUACCCUGGUAGUCCACGCCGUAAACGUUGGGCGCUAGAUGUAGGGACCUUUCCACGGUUUCUGUGUCGUAGCUAACGCAUUA
RNAcentral lists this ribosomal RNA (800 nucleotides) under Curtobacterium citreum. RNAcentral describes it as "bacterial SSU rRNA". It matches the Rfam family "Bacterial small subunit ribosomal RNA", at positions 52 to 862 of the family's 1533-position model. The record is from RNAcentral. Lineage: Bacteria; Bacillati; Actinomycetota; Actinomycetes; Micrococcales; Microbacteriaceae.